RNAcentral lists this ribosomal RNA (206 nucleotides) under uncultured bacterium. Its description in RNAcentral is "partial 16S ribosomal RNA". It matches the Rfam family "Bacterial small subunit ribosomal RNA", at positions 568 to 774 of the family's 1533-position model. The record is from RNAcentral.
UGCGUAGGCGGUUUUGUAAGACAGGUGUGAAAUCCCGGGCUUAACCUGGGAACUGCGCUUGUGACUGCAAGGCUAGAGUACGGCAGAGGGGGUGGGAAUUCCACGUGUAGCGGUGAAAUGUGUAGAGAUCCGGAGGAACACCAGUGGUGCAGACGGCGCCCUGGGCCACACCUGACGCUGAGGCGCGAAAGCUUGGGGAGCGAACG